CCUACGGGUGGCAGCAGUGGGGAAUAUUGGGCAAUGGGCGCAAGCCUGACCCAGCAACGCCGCGUGAAGGAAGAAGGCUUUCGGGUUGUAAACCUCUUUUAAGGGGGAAGAGCAGAAGACGGUACCCCUUGAAUAAGCCACGGCUAACUACGUGCCAGCAGCCGCGGUAAUACGUAGGUGGCAAGCGUUGUCCGGAUUUACUGGGUGUAAAGGGCGUGCAGCCGGAGAGACAAGUCAGAGGUGAAAUCCACGGGCUCAACCCGUGAACUGCAUUUGAAACUGUUGCCCUUGAGUGUCGGAGAGGUAAUCGGAAUUCCUUGUGUAGCGGUGAAAUGCGUAGAUAUAAGGAAGAACACCAGUGGCGAAGGCGGAUUACUGGACGAUAACUGACGGUGAGGCGCGAAAGCGUGGGGAGCAAACAGGAUUAGAUACCCGUGUAGUC
This 442-nucleotide ribosomal RNA is filed under the name uncultured bacterium. RNAcentral's name for it is "partial 16S ribosomal RNA". It matches the Rfam family "Bacterial small subunit ribosomal RNA", at positions 338 to 795 of the family's 1533-position model. The record is from RNAcentral.